Molecule: long non-coding RNA, 615 nt
Filed under: Phoenix dactylifera (date palm)
Lineage: Eukaryota; Viridiplantae; Streptophyta; Magnoliopsida; Arecales; Arecaceae
Description: long non-coding RNA (PDAC_LNC003189)
Source: RNAcentral
AAAUUCUGGUUUGUUCACUUUCAUGCAAGUUAAUUGGUGAUCAUAUCCAUGUCUUCCAAACCAAAUUUUUAUGUGAAAGAUUAGGAGAAAUGAACAUGCAUUUGCACUUGUGUGAGACUUAUCUAGGAUCAACAUUACACUUUUGGGUUCUUUAUUGUGUUGAAGCUUUGAAUUUUGAUUUAGGAUAGGCAAUAUCUUAUAAAGCAAGAGUAAGCAUAUUUGUUUUCCUUUGGGAUUAUUGAAGUACAUCUUUCCUUGCAAAGUUGUAUGAGUUGUGUGUUUAUGCAUAAAAGAUGAGUGUGAUGCUUUUCUUGUGAUUAUCCCCUUUGAUCUAGUCCUAAAUAGGGUUUAAGUAAAUAGAGUGAUAAUGAUUAGACAGUCGAAUAAAUAAAUGUGUACAAAGUUCUAUCUACUCCAAUGUUUUGAGUUGCUUAGUAACUAGGGGUAUUCAUCACCAAUGUCUACUUUUACGUCAAACGGCAACAUGAAAUAUGAGUAUGCAAAAGCACUUUAAGUGUGUGACUUGUUGAGUAACCGGGUGCAUCCAUCACAAAUGCUUGUAUUCGCGUCAAAAGGCAAGUGACAACUUAAAGACAAAGAAUAAUUGGUAAAANN